GAAAUGCGAUAAGUAGUGUGAAUUGCAGAAUUCAGUGAAUCAUCGAAUCUUUGAACGCACAUUGCGCCCCUUGGUAUUCCAUGGGGCAUGCCUGUUCGAGCGUCAUCUACACCCUCAAGCUCUGCUUGGUGUUGGGCGUCUUUGUCCCGCCUCCGCGCGCGGACUCGCCCCAAAUUCAUUGGCAGCGGUCCUUGCCUCCUCUCGCGCAGCACAUUGCGCUUCUCGAGGUGUUGCGGCCCGCGUCCAGAAAGCAAUCGUUACCGUCUUUGACCUCGGAUCAGGUAGGGAUACCCGCUGAACUUAGGC
RNAcentral lists this unclassified non-coding RNA (306 nucleotides) under plant metagenome. Its description in RNAcentral is "partial contains 5.8S ribosomal RNA, internal transcribed spacer 2, and large subunit ribosomal RNA". The stretch from base 1 to 105 matches the Rfam family "5.8S ribosomal RNA", at positions 50 to 154 of the family's 154-position model. The record is from RNAcentral.